CGAGUAGUGCUCUGUGUGGCUGCGUUUAUGUUGAUAAAGUUAUGUAUUCAAAAUCACAGGCUGCAAUGGCGGCUUCCAUGUCGUGGAGGAGGUUGUUGUCCUGUCUCAAAAGACCGGCUGUCUCCGGGGUUCUAACCCGAAUGUCCGACCGGUUAUUCCGGAGAAAGGAGCGGAGCAGAGGGUCGUCUGUGUUCCUGCUGGCCCCCCUGCUGGGAGAGGUUUGUUCCCUCCCUGCUCUGGCUCAGCCUCGCCCCCCUGCCUGUCCCACAACCUCAGAGGGGCUGCUGCAGCGCUUUCACUGGGUCGCAGACCAGGCACCAGCUUUCCGGGUCUCAGGGGGGCAGGUGCACGUGCUGCACUCCCCUGACGAGUUCUACCAGAUGAUGAAGGCAAAUAUUAAGACUGCUAAGAGGAGGGUAGUGAUGGCUUCCCUGUAUCUAGGAACAGGACCCCUGGAACAAGAGCUGGUGGACUGCCUACAGGAGGUGCUAGAGAGGUCCCGAGAGGAGAGAAUGGCCCCUGACCUCAAGGUGUCUAUUCUGCUGGAUUAUACAAGAGGAUCUAGAGGUAAGAAGAACUCUCGGAGCAUGCUGCUGCCCCUGCUGCAGAGGUUCUCUGGUCAGAUGCACGUCUCUCUGUACCACACCCCCGACCUGCGCGGAGUCCUCAAGACGCUCAUCCCCGAACGCUUCAACGAGACCAUCGGCUUGCAGCACAUCAAGGUCUACGUGUUCGACGACAGCCUCAUCAUCAGUGGAGCUAAUCUGAGCGACUCGUACUUCACUAACCGGCAGGAUCGGUACAUCUUGCUGCGGGACUGUGCGGAGCUGGCGGAUUUCUUCUCUGAGCUGGUGGGCGCCGUGGGCGACGUGUCUUUGCAGCUGCAGCCGGAUGACACGGUGCAGGUGAAGGAGGGCAUGGUGCACCCCUACAAAGGCGACCACUCAGAAUUCUGCACAGCGGCCAGCAAGCGAAUCAUGCAGGUAGUGGACUUGGCCCGGUCCAGGCAGCAGCUCAGCGCUUCCACAACGGAGGAGACCCAGCGGCGGCAGGGGCCUGGGGACACGUUGGUCUUCCCGCUGGUGCAGAUGAAGCCACUGGGGAUUGGUCUGGAUGAGACGGUGACCAAGCGGCUGCUGACCGAGGCAGGGGACGAUUCCCGAGUCUUCCUCGCCUCCGGCUACUUCAACCUCACCCGUACCUACAUGGAGCUGGUCCUGGGCACCAGGGCCGACUACCGCAUCCUGCUGGCGUCUCCAGAGGUCAACGGCUUUUUCGGUGCCAAGGGUGUGGCCGGAGAGAUCCCGGCAGCCUAUAUCCAGAUUGCCAGGCAGUUCUACAGCAAGGUGUGCCAGAGAGGCCAACAGAACCGAAUCCGGCUGCAUGAGUACAUCAGGAGGGACUGGACCUUCCAUGCCAAGGGUCUGUGGUACUAUCUCCAGGGGAGCGAGCGACCCUGCCUCACUCUGAUUGGCUCCCCCAAUUUCGGGUACCGCUCUGUGCACAGGGACCUGGAAGCCCAGCUUGCUAUAGUCACAGAGAACCAGGGUCUGCAGGCAGAGUUACAGCAGGAGCAGGAGCGACUGUACUCCAUGUCAGCUGAAGUGUCACCUUCGACGUUUGAGCAGCCAAACCGCUCCGUGAAGCUUUGGGUGAAGCUGGUUACCCCUCUCAUCAAGAACUUCUUCUGAAAGGAAGGAAACCCUGCAUGUGUUCCGCAGUGUGACGCUGGCAGCAACACCCCCACCUUCCACUCUCCUCACUGGUGGGGGUGUAGACCCCCCCUCUACAGGCUAAGUCUUCUCCUCCUUGAUCAUCUGUGGAAACACAACCAACAUCAUUACUUACCUCAGGAACUCACCUCCGGGACCUGGACUGAACCACUGUCUUCAGAGAGAGAGGGCCAUGCGAUUAGCCCACUGCGCCACCAGCUCCCACAGUGUUUCACACUGAAAAUAAGGCCAAGUUUGAAAAUAAAGGAAGGAAUCAGAUUUGAACUCAGUAUUCCAAGGAAAGGAUCCAAUUCUUUGAAAAUAAAGGAAGGAAUCAGCAGGAUGUGAACCCAGUACUCCAAGGUGACCACACAACAUGCUAGCAAAUUAUCCCACUGUGCCAUCUCACUUUCAUGGAAAAAGCUUCCUUUAUCAAUGUCUAUAUAGGAAAGGAUCCAAUUCUUUGAAAAUAAAGGAAGGAAUCAGCAGGAUGUGAACCCAGUACUCCAAGGUUAAAGGUCCAGACAAAGGUGGGUCCACGGAUACGUGUCUUAUACACCGGGCAUUCGUAUAUGUUCUUGGUCUCCUGCCUAUCUACUGGAAUGGCUUUGACAAAGAUUACUGGCAUCGAAGGGGUUAAUUCCUUCAGUCUGGCUUCGGCAAUCACUCCGCUUGGAAUGUCCCAGCGAGCUCCUGGAACAUAGAAAAUAUGAAAGACUUCAGCUUUGCUGAUGGGGCAUAGUUUUUAACAGUCAGUACUGCUGGUGUAUUACAGAAUCUGAAAGUCUUGCCGCUAAUGUAGAAGGGUGACAAGGUUUUGGAUAGUGGGAAACACAAUCAAUCUGAUGGUCACUAGCUUUGGCAAAGGAGAAGAAUGUUUUUACUGUACAGUAGACAGAGCUUUGCUUUGUACAUUGCAACAGAAAUAACAUUGCAGCGGGUUGAUAUACUUUAAUGUUAAAAUAACUAAGCAUGAGAGCACGUUCUCCAAUAUAUUAGUUAGCCUUUCAUGUUAUCUGUUUGAAUGGUAAAGAAUAUUUUCAAAUUAUUUUUAUUUUGAUACUUUUGAUCUGUUAACUCAAUUGUAAUAAUGACAUACAUUAUUUACUAAACCUUGCCAUGUUGCAUGUCAUUUUUGUAUUAUUAUUUAUUUUAUUAUUAUUAUUAUUAUUAUUUCCAGUAUUUCUGUCAAAACAUGGCAAAUAAGAAUUUACAUUUUGAAUUGUAAUAUCUGGCAAUGAAAUGACUGCUAAUUGCAUCAUUUCAUGUAUAUUACUUCAGCUGUUUUACUGUUUGUCUUUCAUCGCUUGGAUUGAUGUGAUUUUAUACAUUAAUAAAACGUGCUGCAGGUGUCUCACUUA
RNA transcript from Acipenser ruthenus (sterlet), 3073 nucleotides. It is a transcript of the gene named CDP-diacylglycerol--glycerol-3-phosphate 3-phosphatidyltransferase, mitochondrial-like, with no coding region annotated. The transcript has 12 exons. Lineage: Eukaryota; Metazoa; Chordata; Actinopteri; Acipenseriformes; Acipenseridae. The record is from RefSeq and is a predicted model, not a curated record.